RNAcentral lists this ribosomal RNA (229 nucleotides) under uncultured bacterium. RNAcentral describes it as "partial 16S ribosomal RNA". It matches the Rfam family "Bacterial small subunit ribosomal RNA", at positions 568 to 796 of the family's 1533-position model. The record is from RNAcentral.
CACGUAGGCGGGUGUGUAAGUCGGUUGUGAAAUCCUCUGGCUCAACCAGAGAAUAGCAGCCGAAACUGCAUACCUUGAGUAUAGCAGAGGGAAUCGGAAUCCUAGGUGUAGCGGUGAAAUGCGUAGAUAUCUAGGAGAACACCAGUGGCGAAGGCGGAUUCCUGGGCUAUUACUGACGCUGAGGUGCGAAAGCUAGGGGAGCGAACAGGAUUAGAUACCCUGGUAGUCC